UUAAGUUCAGCGGGUAGUCCUACUUGAUCCGAGGUCAACCAUAGAAGGGUUAGUUCUGGCAGGCUACCGCCUAGCCCCAGAGCGAGAGCUGUACUACGCUUGGAGCCAGGCGCUGCCGCCACUGUCUUUAGGGCCGGCCGCGAGCGGGCGGGGCCCAACACCAAGCAGAGCUUGAGGGUUGAAAUGACGCUCGAACAGGC
Molecule: unclassified non-coding RNA, 200 nt
Filed under: Oidiodendron sp.
Lineage: Eukaryota; Fungi; Ascomycota; Leotiomycetes; Myxotrichaceae
Description: partial internal transcribed spacer 2
Source: RNAcentral